Molecule: ribosomal RNA, 300 nt
Filed under: uncultured Flexithrix sp.
Lineage: Bacteria; Pseudomonadati; Bacteroidota; Cytophagia; Cytophagales; Flammeovirgaceae
Description: bacterial SSU rRNA
Rfam family: Bacterial small subunit ribosomal RNA
Source: RNAcentral
GUUAACGUGGUGCGAGCGGCGCCGGUAAGACGGAGGGUGCUAGCGUGGUUCGGAGUUUCGGGGGUGAAAGCGUGGGUAGGCGGCUGUGUAAUGCGGAGUGGAAAUGCCAGAGGUUGACGUGGGAAUGGCAUUAGAUACUGGGAAGUGAGAGUAGGGGAGAGGUGGGUAGAAUUGCAGGUGUAGCGGUGAAAUGCGUAGAGAUCUGGAGGAAUACCGGUGGCGAAGGCGGCCCCCUGGACAAAGACUGACGCGCAGGUGCGAAAGCGUGGGGAGCAAACAGGAUUAGAUACCCCGGUAGUC